Molecule: ribosomal RNA, 253 nt
Filed under: uncultured bacterium
Lineage: Bacteria
Description: partial 16S ribosomal RNA
Rfam family: Bacterial small subunit ribosomal RNA
Source: RNAcentral
UACGAAGGGGGCUAGCGUUGCUCGGAAUCACUGGGCGUAAAGGGUGCGUAGGCGGGUCUUUAAGUCAGGGGUUAAAUCCUGGAGCUCAACUCCAGAACUGCCUUUGAUACUGAAGAUCUUGAGUUCGGGAGAGGUGAGUGGAACUGCGAGUGUAGAGGUGAAAUUCGUAGGUAUUCGCAAGAACACCAGUGGCGAAGGCGGCUCACUGGCCCGAUACUGACGCUGAUGCACGAAAGCGUGGGGAGCAAACAGG